GGUGAUAUAGCUCAGUUGGUAGAGCGUUUGCCUACUUUUUAGGAAAGUAUGGGAUUAAUCCCCAUCAUCACAU
This 73-nucleotide transfer RNA is filed under the name Cricetulus griseus (Chinese hamster). It matches the Rfam family "tRNA". Rfam says of the family: Transfer RNA (tRNA) molecules are approximately 80 nucleotides in length. Their secondary structure includes four short double-helical elements and three loops (D, anti-codon, and T loops). The record is from Rfam by way of RNAcentral. Lineage: Eukaryota; Metazoa; Chordata; Mammalia; Rodentia; Cricetidae.